This is a long non-coding RNA of Passer domesticus (house sparrow), 290 nucleotides long. RefSeq lists it as uncharacterized. The record is from RefSeq and is a predicted model, not a curated record. NCBI's taxonomy places the organism in Eukaryota, Metazoa, Chordata, Aves, Passeriformes, Passeridae. The transcript has 3 exons.
GCCCGGGCCGAGCCCGCCCCGCCGCACCGACCAGCCACGGACCGCCCAAAAUGGCAGCCCCGGAAGUGAAGCUACGGAUGCUUGUCUCCUGUGGCCCUUUUUUUACAUCUUCCCAGCCUCUCCUCACAUCUGCACCACUCAAUAAGAAGUACACAGGUCCAAGUAGUUUCUUCACACAAAGCACAAAAAAUGCAAGUUUUUGACUUGAGGCAGCCUGGUGUCAUUCCAUCUCUACAGAUGUACGUUCUUUCUGAAUAUGACCAUUAGUAGACAAGAAGUCUCACGCCUGG